GACGAACGCUGGCGGCGUGCUUAACACAUGCAAGUCGAACGGAAAGGCCUGCUUUCCCUUGUGGAUUGCGGGUACUCGAGUGGCGAACGGGUGAGUAACACGUGAGUGAUCUGCCCCCAACUUGGGUAUAAGCCUGGGAAACUGGGUCUAAUUCCCGAUAGGACUGCAGGGUGGUGCCUGUGGUGGAAAACGAUUUUCUAGUGGUUGGGGAUGAGCUCGCGGCCUAUCAGCUUGUUGGUGGGGUAAUGGCCUACCAAGGCGGCGACGGGUAGCCGGCCUGGGAGGGUGGACGGCGACAUUGGGACUGGGAUACGGCCCAGACUCCUACGGGAGGCAGCAGUGGGGAAUAUUGCACAAUGGGCGGAAGCCUGAUGCAGCGACGCCGCGUGGGGGAUGACGGCCUUCGGGUUGUAAACUCCUUUCGACCGCGAGGAAGCCACCUGGUUGGAAGGGUGGUGACGGUAGUGGUAGAAGAAGCACCGGCUAACUACGUG
This 494-nucleotide ribosomal RNA is filed under the name uncultured bacterium. Its description in RNAcentral is "partial 16S ribosomal RNA". It matches the Rfam family "Bacterial small subunit ribosomal RNA", at positions 28 to 507 of the family's 1533-position model. The record is from RNAcentral.